This 465-nucleotide ribosomal RNA is filed under the name uncultured bacterium. RNAcentral's name for it is "partial 16S ribosomal RNA". It matches the Rfam family "Bacterial small subunit ribosomal RNA", at positions 338 to 795 of the family's 1533-position model. The record is from RNAcentral.
CCUACGUGAGGCAGCAGUGGGGAAUAUUGCGCAAUGGGCGAAAGCCUGACGCAGCGACGCCGCGUGAGGGAUGAAGGUCUUCGGAUCGUAAACCUCUGUCAGCAGGGAAGAACGGUCACUGUGCUAAUCAGCAGUGAAUUGACGGUACCUGCAAAGGAAGCACCGGCUGACUCCGUGCCAGCAGCCGCGGUAAUACGGAGGGUGCGAGCGUGAAUCGGAAUUACUGGGCGUAAGGCGCUCGUAGGCGGUAUGUCAAGUCAAGGGUGAAAUCCCCGCGCUCAACGUGGGAACUGCCUUUGAAACUGGCAAACUGGAGUGUGUGAGAGGAUAGUGGAAUUCCAGGUGUAGGAGUGAAAUCCGUAGAUAUCUGGAGGAACAUCAGUGGCGAAGGCGACUAUCUGGCACAUAACUGACGCUGAGGAGCGAAAGCGUGGGUAGCAAACAGGAUUAGAUACCCGAGUAGUC